UGCAGUCGCACGAUGAUGCCCAGCUUGCUGGGUGGAUUAGUGGCGAACGGGUGAGUAACACGUGAGUAACCUGCCCCUGACUCUGGGAUAAGCGUUGGAAACGACGUCUAAUACUGGAUAUGAUCACCGGCCGCAUGGUCUGGUGGUGGAAAGAUUUUUUGGUUGGGGAUGGACUCGCGGCCUAUCAGCUUGUUGGUGAGGUAAUGGCUCACCAAGGCGACGACGGGUAGCCGGCCUGAGAGGGUGACCGGCCACACUGGGACUGAGACACGGCCCAGACUCCUACGGGAGGCAGCAGUGGGGAAUAUUGCACAAUGGGCGAAAGCCUGAUGCAGCAACGCCGCGUGAGGGAUGACGGCCUUCGGGUUGUAAACCUCUUUUAGUAGGGAAGAAGCGACUGAGUUUACUCUGAGUGACGGUACCUGCAGAAAAAGCACCGGCUAACUACGUGCCAGCAGCCGCGGUAAUACGUAGGGUGCAAGCGUUGUCCGGAAUUAUUGGGCGUAAAGAGCUCGUAGGCGGUUUGUCGCGUCUGCUGUGAAAUCCCGAGGCUCAACCUCGGGCUUGCAGUGGGUACGGGCAGACUAGAGUGCGGUAGGGGAGAUUGGAAUUCCUGGUGUAGCGGUGGAAUGCGCAGAUAUCAUGACGAACACCGAUUGCGAAGGCAGAUCUCUGGGCCGUAACUGACGCUUAGGAGCGAAAGCAUGGGGAGCGAACAGGAUUAGAUACCCUGGUAGUCCAUGCCGUAAACGUUGGG
This 757-nucleotide ribosomal RNA is filed under the name Glaciibacter sp. RNAcentral's name for it is "bacterial SSU rRNA". It matches the Rfam family "Bacterial small subunit ribosomal RNA", at positions 56 to 813 of the family's 1533-position model. Lineage: Bacteria; Bacillati; Actinomycetota; Actinomycetes; Micrococcales; Microbacteriaceae. The record is from RNAcentral.